GCAUAUCAAUAAGCGGAGGAAAGGAAAUUAACGAAGAUUUCCUUAGUAACGGCGAGUGAAAAGGAAACAGUCCAGCGCUGCCUAUGGUUAAGGGACCUGUAGCGUGUAGGAGAGCCUAUCUGUCGAGUUAUUGGCUUCGGAAUCGCCCUUGAAUGGGAGUCCAAAGUGGGUGCGAGACCCGUAACGAAGUCAUGCUCGUCGGUCAGAGCCUCCUUAGAGUCGGGUUACUUGAGAGUGUAGCCCAAAGCGGGAGGUAAACCCCUUCUAAGACUAAAUAUGACCGCGAGACCGAUAGCGAACAAGUACCGCGAGGGAAAGUUGAAAAGACUUUGAAGAGAGAGUUCAAAAGGGCGUGAAACCGCUUAGAAUAAAACGGACGGAGCCGUCAGUGGCCUUCUGGAAUCAGUCGUAUGACGCGCGAUAAUUCGCUAGUCAGACCGAAUAGUCUGACUAGUGGGUUGGAAAAUAGCGUUCAUUCGAUGCAUUUCCAGAGGGUAAGCGCCGCGACCGAUGUGAAAGGCUAGUGAAACUAGCGAAUUGAGAGCGAAACCCUUCGGGGUCUUCGUAACCAGUUCGUUGGUCUAAAGUCGCUAGACCGCAGUAUGCAUCGAGCGAAGAAUUUUGACAUAACGCCGGCAGUAAAGCUCGUUCAAGUGGUGGAAAGUCAAUGGAUUAUUCGUCGCCUGCUCGCAGGUUACGUUUAUUCCCAUUUGGCGCUAGAAACUGCAGACGAGUAUUGGCGUUUGGGCGUCCAGCGGCGUCCGAGACGGUCAACCGUCCGACCCGUCUUGAAACACGGACCAAGGAGUCUAACGUAUGCGCGAGCUAUGAGUGGAAACUCAUAAGCGCAAUAAAAGUAAAAGCCGUCUCAGGCGGCGCGGGGUACGAUCCUCGGGUAGAGAUAUUCGAGGCGCAGUACCAUCCCGUCCUGAUCGCUUGUCGAUAGGGCGGAGAUUGAGUGCAUACGUUGGGACCCGAAAGAUGGUGAACUAUGCCUGAGCAGAGCGAAGCCAGAGGAAACUCUGGUGGAGGUUCGUAGCGGUUCUGACGUGCAAAUCGAUCGUCAGACUUGGGUAUAGGGGCGAAAGACUAAUCGAACCAUCUAGUAGCUGGUUCCUUCCGAA
Molecule: ribosomal RNA, 1124 nt
Filed under: Paralongidorus sp. FL-2016
Lineage: Eukaryota; Metazoa; Nematoda; Enoplea; Dorylaimida; Longidoridae
Description: eukaryotic LSU rRNA
Rfam family: Eukaryotic large subunit ribosomal RNA
Source: RNAcentral